This 139-nucleotide small nucleolar RNA is filed under the name Leersia perrieri. Its description in RNAcentral is "Small nucleolar RNA Z247". It matches the Rfam family "Small nucleolar RNA Z247". From Rfam's summary of the family: Z247 is a member of the C/D class of snoRNA which contain the C (UGAUGA) and D (CUGA) box motifs. Most of the members of the box C/D family function in directing site-specific 2'-O-methylation of substrate RNAs. The record is from Rfam by way of RNAcentral. Lineage: Eukaryota; Viridiplantae; Streptophyta; Magnoliopsida; Poales; Poaceae.
AAGCUUGAAGACGAGGAUCUUGUAUCCUACAUCCUGGUGGGACUCGACAUCGAGUUCAAUCCGCUGGUUUCCUUAGUUGCUGCAAGACUGGAACCGAUCAGUGUUGGAGAGUUGUACUCUCUACUGGUCAGCUACGAGC